Molecule: ribosomal RNA, 94 nt
Filed under: Galeottia colombiana
Lineage: Eukaryota; Viridiplantae; Streptophyta; Magnoliopsida; Asparagales; Orchidaceae
Description: 5.8S ribosomal RNA
Rfam family: 5.8S ribosomal RNA
About the family: 5.8S ribosomal RNA (5.8S rRNA) is a component of the large subunit of the eukaryotic ribosome.
Source: RNAcentral
GACACGACUSUCGGCAAUGGAUAUCUCGGCUCUCGCAUCGAUGAAGAGCGCAGCGAAAUGCGAUACGUGGUGCGAAUUGCAGAAUCCCGCGAAC